GGCGGCAUAGCCAAGUGGUAAGGCAGAGGUCUGCAAAACCUCCAUUCCCCAGUUCGAAUCUGGGUGCCGCCUCCA
This 75-nucleotide transfer RNA is filed under the name Olavius algarvensis associated proteobacterium Delta 3. Its description in RNAcentral is "tRNA-Cys-GCA". It matches the Rfam family "tRNA". Rfam says of the family: Transfer RNA (tRNA) molecules are approximately 80 nucleotides in length. Their secondary structure includes four short double-helical elements and three loops (D, anti-codon, and T loops). Further hydrogen bonds mediate the characteristic L-shaped molecular structure. tRNAs have two regions of fundamental functional importance: the anti-codon, which is responsible for specific mRNA codon recognition, and the 3' end, to which the tRNAs corresponding amino acid is attached (by aminoacyl-tRNA synthetases). tRNAs cope with the degeneracy of the genetic code in two manners: having more than one tRNA (with a specific anti-codon) for a particular amino acid; and 'wobble' base-pairing, i.e. permitting non-standard base-pairing at the 3rd anti-codon position. Lineage: Bacteria; Deltaproteobacteria. The record is from RNAcentral. RNAcentral also lists the same sequence under 2 other names.